RNAcentral lists this unclassified non-coding RNA (328 nucleotides) under soil metagenome. RNAcentral describes it as "partial contains 5.8S ribosomal RNA, internal transcribed spacer 2, and large subunit ribosomal RNA". The stretch from base 1 to 120 matches the Rfam family "5.8S ribosomal RNA", at positions 35 to 154 of the family's 154-position model. The record is from RNAcentral.
GAUGAAGAACGUAGCGAAAUGCGAUAAGUAAUGUGAAUUACAGAAUUCAGUGAAUCAUCGAAUCUUUGAACGCACAUUGCGCCCCUCGGUAUUCCGAGGGGCAUGCCUGUUCGAGCGUCAUUAUAACCCUUCAAGCUCAGCUUGGUGUUGGGGCCUGCUGUAACUGGUAGCCCUUAAAAUCAGUGGCAGUGCUAUUAGGCUCUAAGCGUAGUAAUUCUUCUCGCUAUAGUGUGUAGUGAGCGCUUGCCAGAACCCCAAACUUUUAUAUGAUUGACCUCGGAUCAGGUAGGGAUACCCGCUGAACUUAAGCAUAUCAAUAAGCGGAGGA